GACGAACGCUGGCGGCGUGCCUAAUACAUGCAAGUCGAACGCUGAAGGAGGAGCUUGCUCUUCUGGAUGAGUUGCGAACGGGUGAGUAACGCGUAGGUAACCUGCCUGGUAGCGGGGGAUAACUAUUGGAAACGAUAGCUAAUACCGCAUAAGAGUAGAUGUUGCAUGACAUUUACUUAAAAGGUGCAAUUGCAUCACUACCAGAUGGACCUGCGUUGUAUUAGCUAGUUGGUGGGGUAACGGCUUACCAAGGCGACGAUACAUAGCCGACCUGAGAGGGGGAUCGGCCACACUGGGACUGAGACACGGCCCAGACUCCUACGGGAGGCAGCAGUAGGGAAUCUUCGGCAAUGGACGGAAGUCUGACCGAGCAACGCCGCGUGAGUGAAGAAGGUUGUCGGAUCGUAAAGCUCGGUUGUAAGAGAAGAACGAGUGUGAGAGUGGAAAGUUCACACUGUGACGGUAGCUUACCAGAAAGGGACGGCUAACUACGUG
This 495-nucleotide ribosomal RNA is filed under the name uncultured bacterium. RNAcentral describes it as "partial 16S ribosomal RNA". It matches the Rfam family "Bacterial small subunit ribosomal RNA", at positions 28 to 507 of the family's 1533-position model. The record is from RNAcentral.